GGGUUGUGAGGUUAAGCGACUAAGCGUACACGGUGGAUGCCCUGGCAGUCAGAGGCGAUGAAGGGCGUACUAAUCUGCGAUAAGCGCCGGUAAGGUGAUAUGAACCGUUAUAACCGGCGAUACCCGAAUGGGGAAACCCAGUGUGAUUCGUCACACUAUCAUUAACUGAAUCCAUAGGUUAAUGAGGCGAACCGGGGGAACUGAAACAUCUAAGUACCCCGAGGAAAAGAAAUCAACCGAGAUUCCCCCAGUAGCGGCGAGCGAACGGGGAGGAGCCCAGAGCCUGAAUCAGCAUGUGUGUUAGUGGAAGCGUCUGGAAAGGCGCGCGAUACAGGGUGACAGCCCCGUACACAAAAGCGCAUGUGCUGUGAGCUCGAUGAGUAGGGCGGGACACGUGGUAUCCUGUCUGAAUAUGGGGGGACCAUCCUCCAAGGCUAAAUACUCCUGACUGACCGAUAGUGAACCAGUACCGUGAGGGAAAGGCGAAAAGAACCCCGGCGAGGGGAGUGAAAAAGAACCUGAAACCGUGUACGUACAAGCAGUGGGAGCACNNNNNNNNNNNNNNGACUGCGUACCUUUUGUAUAAUGGGUCAGCGACUUAUAUUCUGUAGCAAGGUUAACCGAAUAGGGGAGCCGGAGGGAAACCGAGUCUUAAUUGGGCGUUAAGUUGCAGGGUAUAGACCCGAAACCCGGUGAUCUAGCCAUGGGCAGGUUGAAGGUUGGGUAACACUAACUGGAGGACCGAACCGACUAAUGUUGAAAAAUUAGCGGAUGACCUGUGGCUGGGGGUGAAAGGCCAAUCAAACCGGGAGAUAGCUGGUUCUCCCCGAAAGCUAUUUAGGUAGCGCCUCGUGAAUUCAUCUCCGGGGGUAGAGCACUGUUUCGGCUAGGGGGCCAUCCCGGCUUACCAACCCGAUGCAAACUGCGAAUACCGGAGAAUGUUAUCACGGGAGACACACGGCGGGUGCUAACGUCCGUCGUGAAGAGGGAAACAACCCAGACCGCCAGCUAAGGUCCCAAAGUCAUGGUUAAGUGGGAAACGAUGUGGGAAGGCCCAGACAGCCAGGAUGUUGGCUUAGAAGCAGCCAUCAUUUAAAGAAAGCGUAAUAGCUCACUGGUCGAGUCGGCCUGCGCGGAAGAUGUAACGGGGCUAAACCAUGCACCGAAGCUGCGGCAGCGACACUGUGUGUUGUUGGGUAGGGGAGCGUUCUGUAAGCCUGCGAAGGUGGCCUGUGAGGGUUGCUGGAGGUAUCAGAAGUGCGAAUGCUGACAUAAGUAACGAUAAAGCGGGUGAAAAGCCCGCUCGCCGGAAGACCAAGGGUUCCUGUCCAACGUUAAUCGGGGCAGGGUGAGUCGACCCCUAAGGCGAGGCCGAAAGGCGUAGUCGAUGGGAAACGGGUUAAUAUUCCCGUACUUGGUGUUACUGCGAAGGGGGGACGGAGAAGGCUAUGUUGGCCGGGCGACGGUUGUCCCGGUUUAAGCGUGUAGGUGUGUGUUCCAGGUAAAUCCGGUUCACUUUAACACUGAGGCGUGACGACGAGGCACUACGGUGCUGAAGCAACAAAUGCCCUGCUUCCAGGAAAAGCCUCUAAGCAUCAGGUAACAUCAAAUCGUACCCCAAACCGACACAGGUGGUCAGGUAGAGAAUACCAAGGCGCUUGAGAGAACUCGGGUGAAGGAACUAGGCAAAAUGGUGCCGUAACUUCGGGAGAAGGCACGCUGACACGUAGGUGAAGUGAUUUACUCAUGGAGCUGAAGUCAGUCGAAGAUACCAGCUGGCUGCAACUGUUUAUUAAAAACACAGCACUGUGCAAACACGAAAGUGGACGUAUACGGUGUGACGCCUGCCCGGUGCCGGAAGGUUAAUUGAUGGGGUCAGCGCAAGCGAAGCUCCUGAUCGAAGCCCCGGUAAACGGCGGCCGUAACUAUAACGGUCCUAAGGUAGCGAAAUUCCUUGUCGGGUAAGUUCCGACCUGCACGAAUGGCGUAAUGAUGGCCAGGCUGUCUCCACCCGAGACUCAGUGAAAUUGAACUCGCUGUGAAGAUGCAGUGUACCCGCGGCAAGACGGAAAGACCCCGUGAACCUUUACUAUAGCUUGACACUGAACAUUGAGCCUUGAUGUGUAGGAUAGGUGGGAGGCUUUGAAGUGUGGACGCCAGUCUGCAUGGAGCCGACCUUGAAAUACCACCCUUUAAUGUUUGAUGUUCUAACGUGGACCCGUUACCCGGGUUGCGGACAGUGUCUGGUGGGUAGUUUGACUGGGGCGGUCUCCUCCUAAAGAGUAACGGAGGAGCACGAAGGUUGGCUAAUCCUGGUCGGACAUCAGGAGGUUAGUGCAAUGGCAUAAGCCAGCUUGACUGCGAGCGUGACGGCGCGAGCAGGUGCGAAAGCAGGUCAUAGUGAUCCGGUGGUUCUGAAUGGAAGGGCCAUCGCUCAACGGAUAAAAGGUACUCCGGGGAUAACAGGCUGAUACCGCCCAAGAGUUCAUAUCGACGGCGGUGUUUGGCACCUCGAUGUCGGCUCAUCACAUCCUGGGGCUGAAGUAGGUCCCAAGGGUAUGGCUGUUCGCCAUUUAAAGUGGUACGCGAGCUGGGUUUAGAACGUCGUGAGACAGUUCGGUCCCUAUCUGCCGUGGGCGCUGGAGAACUGAGGGGGGCUGCUCCUAGUACGAGAGGACCGGAGUGGACGCAUCACUGGUGUUCGGGUUGUCAUGCCAAUGGCACUGCCCGGUAGCUAAAUGCGGAAGAGAUAAGUGCUGAAAGCAUCUAAGCACGAAACUUGCCCCGAGAUGAGUUCUCCCUGAGACUUAAAGUCUCCUGAAGGAACGUUGAAGACGACGACGUUGAUAGGCCGGGUGUGUAAGCGCAGCGAUGCGUUGAGCUAACCGGUACUAAUGAACCGUGAGGCUUAACCUUACAACGCCGAAG
Molecule: ribosomal RNA, 2928 nt
Filed under: Salmonella enterica subsp. enterica serovar Enteritidis str. SA20090877
Lineage: Bacteria; Pseudomonadati; Pseudomonadota; Gammaproteobacteria; Enterobacterales; Enterobacteriaceae
Description: bacterial LSU rRNA
Rfam family: Bacterial large subunit ribosomal RNA
Source: RNAcentral